AAUAAUUUGAAACUGGUGUUACUGACAACCUAAAUACAUUAUAGGCUAACAGAGAGCAAGAAGUCCUGGAAAAGUUGAGAGCAGCUAUACAUUCAAUCUCAUACACAGGUUAUUUCUAAGGAUUGGUGGUGGACGGAGAAAACCUAGUGGUGAGGGAGGGUCUCAUCUUCACAAUCUGUUCAGAAUCGACACCCAUUCGCAUUGCAGAUUUUCCAGCUUCGAAGAACCGCUUGACAGCGCUCUCGGCGUAUGCUAUUCCCUCUCUCACACUCAUUUGCUUCACAACCUUCUCCUGGAAAUUGGUCAGUAGAUGGUCUCCAUUCAGCACUGAAGCAAGUUGCAUCAGUUCUUGCUGGAAUUCGCUCAGCUUGGCAUCCUCGUUAGCAGUGCUGUUACGGAUUUUCACAGGAGUAGGG
Molecule: unclassified non-coding RNA, 416 nt
Filed under: Hevea brasiliensis (rubber tree)
Lineage: Eukaryota; Viridiplantae; Streptophyta; Magnoliopsida; Malpighiales; Euphorbiaceae
Source: RNAcentral